GAUGAACGCUGGCGGCGUGCUUAAUACAUGCAAGUCGAGCGAACGGACGAGAAGUUUGCUUCUCUGAUGUUAGCGGCGGACGGGUGAGUAACACGUGGAUAACCUACCUAUCUGACUGGGAUAACUUCGGGAAACCGGUGCUAAUACCGGUUAAUAUUUUGAACCGCAUGGUUCAUAUGUGAAAGAUGGUCUUGGUGUGACUUCUAGACGGAUCCGCGCUGCAUUAGCUAGUUGGUAAGGUACCGGCUUACCAAGGCAACGAUGCAUAGCCGACCUGAGAGGGUGAUCAGCCACACUGGAACUGAGACACGGUCCAGACUCCUACGGGAGGCAGCAGUAGGGAAUCGUCCGCAAUGGGCGAAAGCCUGACGGAGCAACGCCGCGUGAGUGAUGAAGGUCUUCGGAGCGUAAAACUCUGUUAUUAGGGAAGAACAUAUGUGUAAGUAACUGUGAACAUCAUGACGGUACCUAAUCAGAAAGCCACGGCUAACUACGUG
RNAcentral lists this ribosomal RNA (497 nucleotides) under uncultured bacterium. RNAcentral describes it as "partial 16S ribosomal RNA". It matches the Rfam family "Bacterial small subunit ribosomal RNA", at positions 28 to 507 of the family's 1533-position model. The record is from RNAcentral.